UCCCAAAGACUCUUGCUCAUUUUUCCCAAACACUCUUGCUCUCUCUCCAACCCACAAAAUUUGUCUCUCUGUCUCUAACCCCCGAUCUAGAUCCGGCCAACGACGGCGACACAAACCGGUGGAGAGCAAAUUCCUUCAACUCGCCGGUGAAGUUCUUCAGACUUUGAAUCGCUGGUGAAGAUCUAUUUCUUUCAGAUCAUGGGUGAAGUCCUUCAAAUCAAAAAGCGUUUUAGAAGAAUUUAAAGUGAAAUUUUCAUGAGAAAGCAUUAAUUUAGAGGAUUAGAUUGCUGGAUUUGUUUGCACGAGGAAGAAACACACGGUCAUGAUUUGAAGGAAAUUUAGUCCGUGAUUUUUUGAAGGAAAUUCAGUUUUACCUUCAUUUAAAAAUUCAACACAGUGAUGAUUUGCACUUGCAUAGGUUUCUUCCAUCAAUUGGGGUAGUUAAAUUCCACACGGACAUUAUUCUGUUUUUUCCAUUAGGCUUUUUUUUUUUCCCUUUCCUUUUAACAUUGGCCUUGUUCAAUUGAACUCUGCACUUAGUAAUUUUUUACACAGCCAAUAUUGAUUUCGCUCACAUGGUUGUACUACAUUUGUUCGAUGGUGGCAGGAAGGAAUAAAUAUAGCCGAGGAACAUGACUAUUGGUAGAUUUCCCUCGACAUAACUCUACGUAAGGAUUAAAGAGACUCGAAAGACUACGAGAAUGGAAAGAAAGGCGUCAAUAAAAUGUAGCAUUGAACUUCGAUGUAAUUGGACAGUGAUAACUGUAUCUUUUUGUAUUUGGAUCUUCUAUAGUUUUACAUCGGUUGCACAAUCUUCUGCAUCAAUCGCCAUUUAUGAAUCUAUCCUAUUUCCUCUCUUUUUUUGUUCUCUGUGUACUUCAUCUUUUACAAGAGAACUAUGAGUUCCCAUGUUGCCAUUUUCGUAAACAACACUUAUAUCUGCACCACAUGGAAGCACAUCUCAAAACAUUCAUAAAGUUGGCAAAUCAGAUUCCUAAACUUAAACUGAAUGACAUACUAAAAUUACUUAGCCAACAUCCAUAAAUUCUGCAAACUGAAAUAGUAUAUGCAAAAUACUUUCCCAAAAAUUCUAACCACAUUCAUAACAUGGCAUUCACUAAACACAUGAGAGCUUAACCGAUGCAAAAUACUUGUACAAGUUUAGCAGCUUAAAAUUUUUUCAGUCCAACUAAAGUGAAAAACGUGAUAUAUUCAGCUGCCUCAUGAAAUCGAUUUUGCUUCCAAAAAUCAGAAACUCAGCUAUCUCAACCUUCACUCGUGCAACGCAAAAAUAGGUCCGCACAUGCUCUCCUAUGUUUUGAAAUCAUGGGAAGAAGAAUUCUUCAUCGUUUCAAUGUCCUACGCAUGUAACGAAUAAGAUUGACAAAAAAUUUUAUGAUGGGAACAUAUCGUAUGUAUAAUAGUAUGCAUUCGAGUACCUCAACAUUGAACGGGGAUGAAACAUUACUUUUUAGCUUUUUGCACAUGUUCAAAUUAUUUGAGCUCGUGGGCACCUGUACGAAGAUUCAAACAUAAUAGAUGAGUUUAAAAAAGACAAAAUUGUAGUUGAACAUAUCUUCAAAAUAUUUCAUACCUUAUGCUUAGUUUUUCUCGAAGUAGCUUCAAAAUGACCUUUUCGACGAAGUUUUUUAGGUGCUCUUUUCGUUCUCGAGGAUUUUGGGUCUAAGAUGUCUCCAACUGCAAUAUUUCCCGCUUCAAAGUAUUGGGAGCCUACUUGAUUAGACUUCGACGUCGCCAUAACUGUUCGGGACUCAAUCCACUCAGAAAUGUCCUUACAUUGUUCCUCAUUAUGGGCUACCAAGUCAACUAAUUUGGUAAAUGCAAAACACAAUUUCUCGUAUCUGACUUGAUCAGGAGUACUAAUCCAACCAUCAUAAUUUAUUGGAACUCUCGUGUAUGAUCUGACCACAUCUCUCCUCCAUCUCUUCAAUAUAUACUUCUCAGGUAAUAAUUUUACAUCAUUAUGUAUCAAAACUGUGAUUGCAUGCUUGCAAAUAAUUCCUCUAAAUUCAUAUAAGUGAAAACUGUACUCAAAAUCACAUUCAUCCCUGUGAAAGGACACUUGAAAUAUUUUUUUUCGUUGUACAGUCAUUUAAAAUGAUGUCCUCACGUACUUCAUAAAUAGUUUGGAAGCAUAACUCAUGUUUAGAUACAACUUCACAGUAAACAUUACCGGUAAAUUGUUCUUGGAACUCUCUGAACUUCGUCAUUGUAUACACUGAUUGGAAUUGCUUCUCCAAUUCGUACCUUGUCGCACAUGGGACCAUUUGUGAAAAUGAUUAGAAAUCGGCGUGAAAUUCCUUCUCAACUUUACUUCUCAAUGCACGCUCAUAUUGCUCCACGAAUUGCUUUUGGGAUGUUUUGGAAUGAACGUAUCCGUCAAAAAAUGCAUUCAUGCUCUCACUUCGUUGAGUGGUUGACAUACUGGCCCAAAAUGAAGUUUUCAAAAAGCAUGGUACCCAUCGACUUCUCUCCUUGUAUAGUCCAGUCAACCAACUAUGUUCAAGCAAUUCAUAAUCUUCAAGCAUCUUACUCCAACCUUCCUCAAAUUCCUCACAAGUCUGCAUAUCAUACACCAACCUAUGUACAGUCGAAAGAAUAGAACCUUUAUGUUUCUGCUUGCCGAAUUUUUCUGGUAACUUCUUCAGUAUAUGCCAUAAACACCAUCUAUGUUUUGUUUUAGGAAAAACGAUUUCAAUUGCAUUUUGCAUAGCCCGAUCUUGAUCUAGUAUUAUUCCAAUUGGAGCUUCUCCAUGCAUACAUUCAAGCCAUUUCCUAAAUAGCCAUACAAAAGUUCUUGUAUCCUCAUUUGAAACCAAGCCACACCCAAGUAGAGUUGAUUGUCCAUGAUGAUUAACCCCAACGAAAGGAGCGAAAGGCAUAUCAUACUUGUUAGUCAAGUAUGUUGUGUCAAACGUAACAACAUCACCGAAUUCCUUAUACGCUUGUCUACACCUAUUGUCUGCCCAAAACACGUUUCUUAGUCGAGCCUCUUCAUCUAAAUCUAUGCUAAAAUAGAAACCAAGACUACUUAUUUGCAUCUUCAAAAAAUAUGCUUGUAUUGCAACGGCGUCUCCUUCACCAAGUCUUAAUCUUCUCACUUUGUUAAUGAAAUUUCUACAAUCUUUCUCAAUACAUGCAAUGUUUUCAUAGCCACCAGCUUCAACUAUGACUGAAUUAAAACUCUUAUGCAACGGAAUACCAGCAAUGUCAUUCAUUUCAAGAUGUCUUUUCACACGUGCACUAAUUUGGCGAUUGCAUCUAUAUAACCUUGAUUUGGAUGGGCUUGUGCUAUGAUUGUGCUCAAGAUGGAUCGUGUUAAUACGCCAUGUUCCACAAACGUCUAAACAUGCUGUCAACCUGGCUUUACAACCAAUUUUGAUGGUUGGUUGAGGCUUCAAAUAAGAACUUGAACUGCUGGUUUGACGACCUUCUCGACUACACGUAAAAGUUACAUAACGUACGAUCCCAUCAUCACCUUUCUUUGAAUUUCUUUUUCUCACAGGAAAACCAAGUUGGUAAGCAUAUUUCUUGUAAAAUUCAAACACCUCUUUUUCAUCUUUAAACUUCAUUCCAACACUUGGAACAAUAAUGUCACUCUCUUCUCUUUUCUCAUUCGCAUUGCCAUCAUCAGAUGAUACAAUAUCCAAAUAUCCUACAAAAUGAAAAACAUACCACAAUCAAUUCUCAUUUUGGCAGAAAGAUGAGACCAGAUUUCUCCAUAACACAAAUAAUUUUUGCCCAAUUUAUUCAUUUGAACAAGAUGAAAAUAAGAAUAAAUUUUCAAGACCAGAGGCACAAUGAAGACAUUACUGGGCAUCUAGUACUCUUCCAAAUGGUUUUCUAAUGGCUUCCUUGGUAAAUUUGUUUCAAAUUCCAACAAUGCAUAGUUUUUAGUUUUUUACUUCGAAAAUACACUCCUAAAGCACUCAUUCAUAUAAAUAUUCAAACAAAUUGAACAAUCUAAUUGAAAAUUAGAAAGAAUAAAUGUUACCUAUGCUUACGUUGGAUUUGAAGUCGACCCCGUCGGAGCUUCCUACUUUGAUUUUAUUUUCAUAUUCGUAAUGACCGGGGUUGCUUUCCACAGUAAAUGAUUGGUGUAUUAAUGUCGGGCUCCCACCCAGGUCGAUGUCGAUAUCAAAGUUUUCGAUGUCAAUGUUGUCGACGACGUCGAAUGACUUUUUUUGUCCUUCCAUUUUGUUCAUCUCCAGGUUUGAAUUGGGUUUAGAAAUGUCUCCAGGUUUGAAUUGGGUUUGGAAAUUCAGGGAAAAUGAUGGGUUAAAAAACAAAUUGGCCACCUUUUCCUUUUCCAUUUUUUAGGCGAGAUUUUGACAAAUCUUGACAUGAAAAUCUCGCCAUGUUAGCCUCUGUAACCCUUUAGGUAAUGCAUGAUGUUUGUGUAGCAAGACUCAAGAAAAAAAGGGNUCGUUUUGACUAAAUUGAUUUGUUUAGUACUCACACUACCUGUUUCAACGGCGACUGUGGAGCGAGCAUUUUCAGCAAUGAAACAUGUGAAGACGGAAAUUCGUAACAAAAUGGAUAAUGGCUUUCUUGGUGAUUGUUUAACACUAAAUAUUGAGCGAGAAUUUAGUAUGAAUUUAGAUCUAGAUUCUAUUGUAGAUGAAUUUUAUGCUUUAAAACAUCGUCGGGUACAACUACGAUAGGUAACUUAUAUUAUGAAUUUUUCUUAUUUUAUAUAAAUUUUAUUUGUAGUUCGUACAUUAAAUUUUAAAAAAAAUUUGCCCCCUGUACCAUGAAUUCCUGGCUCCGCCCCUGCUUGCAUCGGUUUCUUCCAUCAAUUGGGGUAGUUAAAUUCCACACGGACAUUAUUCUGUUUUUCCAUUAGGCUUUUUUUUCCUUUCCUUUUAACAUUGGCCUUGUUCAAUUGAACUCUGCACUUAGUAAUUUUUUACACAGCCAAUAUUGAUUUCGCUCACGUGGUUGUACUAUAUUUGUUCGAUGGUGGCAGGAAAGAAUAAAUAUAGCCGAGGAACAUGACUAUUCGUAGAUUUCCCUCGACAUAACUCUACGUAAGGAUUAAAGAGAUUCGAAAGACUAUGAGAAUGGAAAGAAAGGCGUCAAUAAAAUGUAGCAUUGAACUUCGAUGUAAUUGGACAGUGAUAAUUGUAUCUCUUUGUAUUUGGAUCUUGUAUAGUUUUACAUCGGUUGCACAAUCUACUGCAUCAAUCGUC
Molecule: long non-coding RNA, 5213 nt
Filed under: Olea europaea subsp. europaea
Lineage: Eukaryota; Viridiplantae; Streptophyta; Magnoliopsida; Lamiales; Oleaceae
Source: RNAcentral